UACGUAGGGUGCGAGCGUUGUCCGGAAUUAUUGGGCGUAAAGGGCUCGUAGGCGGUUUGUCGCGUCGGGAGUGAAAACAUCGGGCUUAACUCGAUGCUUGCUUUCGAUACGGGCAGACUUGAGGUAUGCAGGGGAGAAUGGAAUUCCUGGUGUAGCGGUGAAAUGCGUAGAUAUCUGGAGGAACACCGGUGGCGAAGGCGGCAUCCUGGACCGGCAUUGACGCUGAGGCGCGAAAGCCAGGGGAGCAAACGGG
RNAcentral lists this ribosomal RNA (253 nucleotides) under uncultured bacterium. Its description in RNAcentral is "partial 16S ribosomal RNA". It matches the Rfam family "Bacterial small subunit ribosomal RNA", at positions 524 to 776 of the family's 1533-position model. The record is from RNAcentral.